This 569-nucleotide non-coding RNA is filed under the name Aeriscardovia aeriphila. Lineage: Bacteria; Bacillati; Actinomycetota; Actinomycetes; Bifidobacteriales; Bifidobacteriaceae. The record is from RNAcentral.
CGUCGAGAGCUUGUGCAGAAAGUCGGUGCGACUGUCCCUAACCUUCGCGUACGCCUUAGCCACCUUCAACCGGGUUUUCCGAUAGUUGUUGCUUCCUUUCUUCUUCCGAGCGAGUUUUCGUUGCAACAGCCCAAGUUUCUUCAAGUGUCUUCUCAAGUAUCGUGGAUUGUCGAUUUUCUCACCAUUGCUGAGGAUGGCGAAGUGUUCCAAUCCCAUGUCGAUGCCAACCAUGUUUCCAUUCUUGGCUGGUUGAAAGAUGACAUCUUCGACCAGGAUGCUCACGUGCCAGCGUCCAGCCGCGUCCAAACUGACCGUCACGCUGGACGGUCGACUUGGACGCGGCAGGGUGCGCGACCAACGGAUAUGCAAUGGUUCGCGCAUCUUCGCCAACGUCAAUGCCCUGUGCUCCCCAUCCCAUGUGAACGCGGAGACAGUGUAGGUAGCAGAGCCUCCCUCGUGUUUGGCUUUGAAUCUCGGAUAGGAGCCAGUCUUGUCGAAGAAUCUCUUGAACGCAGCCUGCAAAUGCCGUAGCGAUUGUUGCAACGGGACAGACGACACUUCCGUCAGAU